CUGCUUACACCUCUCUGGUGUCACUUCAGCCUUGUGGGGUCCCGUGGGCUGGAGGGUGCAGGGCAACAAAUUGCAGGGGGCAAUUACGCCCUGUGCUAAAGAGAGCAUUAAGCCAGGCACAAUUUCCGUGGAGGAUGUUGCUCGGCAAACAGCAAUACAAAAGCGGAAGCAAAUAAAAAGGUUUGAAAAUUGCUGUUGAAGAAGGGGUCUGGCCUCGGUGAUCCUCGGAGAUGCUGGCGCUUUUCCUCCGUCGAUUCUUGGCUGGGAUGUGCUGAGGUGGUACCUGCUGUGUGCUGGAGCAUCCCAGAUUCUUCCACGGUGCUGACCAUGUUGGAGCAGCCCUGGCAUGAGCAGCAGAGUGGAGGUGGCACAGAGGAGACCAGGGAAUGUUCUCUGGCACAGGGAAAGGGUAUCUGUCAACACCUGAGCAGAAGGGGGGCAGGUGCAGACAUGGCCAACCUGGGUGAAACUGGGAAAUGGCCCUCAAAGGGAAAUGGGAGCAGAGAGAAACAUUUGUAGAGCAGAGAAUGUAAAGGAAUGAUACAUUUUUAAACCUGUUGGGGAUGAACUUGGGUAUUCUGUUCCUAACAAAUUUGAAACUUUUCUCCUUUUAGUUCCUCUUUGUACUAACGCUGUUCAGGCUCCAGCACAAAGCACAAGAUCUUGAGGAGAGCUGGCACUUGUGGAGGCAAACCAGGAGGAGAUGGUCUGUUCUGAGCACCUGGAAAGCUUCUCCCCUUCCAAGCGGAAGGAACUUUUACUGCUGUUGAGAAGUUGCUAUAAAAGCCAUUUUCCAGUGCAGAACUCGUGGCAGAGGGGCCUGUUCCUCUGGGUCUCUGGGUGAUGGACCCUGUUCUCUCCCGAGCCCACCCGCAGAGCCCUCUCCCCUCCCCACUGCCCGGGGUGCCCGGCCCCCCUGUCCCCAGGAGGGCCCUCUGGAAGGUGCCAUCUCCUCGCAGUCGCUUUUGUUUGCAGACAGUGAGUUUUCCAUCAAAGCUGCUGCUGCCUUUCAUCCCUGGGAAGAGCUGCCCGUGGGCACAGCCUUUAACCGGCUGAUUGAGCGAUCCGGAGCCUUUCAUGGUCCUGCUUUUAUCUUGGGAAUGGGGCUGCUCUCCUUGGAUUCGAGGGCUUAGGGGAGGGUGGAGGGGUCGGGUGUGAGCAUCGUGCUGCCCCCACUGUGCUCCAUCCCUGGUACCCCGAGGAUGGGAGGAUGGGCUGCAGCACAGUCCUGCUUUUCCCCCUGGAGCUGCCACUGCUUUCUCCUCAGAGGACAGAAAGCCCAAACGUUCAUUUUAAUGUUUAAUGCUCUUCACCGAGGUGAAAGCAGAGGGAGGAGGGGGAUCGCUUCCUAUUUAAGGGCCUCUGUCAGUGCCCGGGUGUUCAGGUGGGAGGGUCAUGGGCUAAAUCCCACCCCAAUUAACCUCCACACUGCGCAGCGGGGAGAUGGUUUGGAGGAGGAUUCGGCAGAGCAGCUGCUGAGCUCGGCACAGGGAGAUCUUACAGCGUGACCGGGACACAUCGCUGCCGACAGCCGAGGAGCUGCAGGGUCUGCUUGGCCACCAUCCAGGAGGUGACGGGACGAGGGUGAGACCUGGCUGGUCCCCUCGUGCGGCCGUGCUGGGGAUGCUGAGACACCACACGGUGCUGUGUCACCCCCACACCUUCCUCUGAAAGAUGGGAGAGGCGAGGGGGGGCUGAGUAGCAGCAGGUAUAAUUCAGUUUGAUUUCUUCCAGACUCUUCAUUUGCUGAACGUGUCAGCAGCCCUGUUGUAUAUGGGCUGUUCUGUAUCAAUUUUCUGCGAUGCCAGGCCAUAAAUAAAGAAAAUAAAUGUUAGGCCCGUUAAUCAGUUGCUGCUCACCCAAAUGAGUUCCUUCUGCAUUUCCCUGUUCUAUAAUUACUUGUCACCUCUUGCUGGUUUGUAACUUCUCGCUCUGUGAUUCUGUUGGGUGGCUUUUCCCUGUUUCUGAUGGGAUCAAUCCGUUUUGUGCGUGGCUGGGAUUUUGUUGGUUGGGUUUUUUGUUUGGUUGGGUUUUCCCUUUGUUUGCUUUUUGGUUGUUUGGUUUGUUAGUUUGUUUUGGGGUCUUGCUUCUUUUCCCCAGGUGGAGGGUGCUAAAAAGCAAUUGACUGUAGGAGGUUUGUUCCAGCUGAGGAGCUGAGGGAGAACAGCUUCCACCAGAGCUGUGUUUUAAUUUCCAGAACAGGGAUUCCCGGCACCGGUUCUGCAGUUCCUGCAAACAGACUUUUUGCAAACCCACGUUGGUCUGUCCCAUGCUCUGGAGGAGUGGAGACAAGGAUCCUGCCUCACAGCUCUCCUCUGCAUCAACCUCCCAGGCAGGAAUCCGCGGUGAUCGAUCACUGCUGGUGAGGACCACUUGAAAGCAGACAAGUCUAAUGGGUGAGGAACAGCUGUGGAAGCACAGUGUCAUUUUUCAGCCAGGCCCUCCACGCUGGAAUCCAGAGCUGCCUUCCCCUCCCUUCCCCUGGUGGGGCAGCCAGGCUGUGGUGUGGGGCCAUCAGGUGGUGCAUGUCCUGUGCUCCCAGAAUGUUUCAUUGAGACAACAGGGUUCCUCCCAGCUCGGGAUCUGUCCUGGGGUUUUCAGGCAGUGGAGAAUUUCUUGUCUUUGCCCUGGGUCUGUUCAGGCAGCAAGACACGACAGAUCCUUCCUCUGCCCCUUUAAAAUCUUUCAGGAUGUGAGGAUGACAGAUGUGGAUCUGGGGUCUCCAGUGGGAUUUGGAAGGACAGAGCCCAACCAUCCAUCUGGUCGGGAGCUCGGCGCUGCCACACAACCUGCGAAUCGCCUCUGGCCUUGGCUCCUCCAAACCCACAGCGUUUCUGUGACAGGAUGGGGGAUGCAGAACUGUUGUUUGUGUUCACAGAAGCUGGAGAUCAGCUGCACCUGCCCUUUGGGGGGCUGAGGCUGAGGCUGAUUGAGACGGACAAGGCUGUGCGGGAGCAGACUCAGGCCAGUCGCUGGAAAGACCUUACCGCCAGUCUGGUGCAGCCCUACAUUUCCCCAUCAGUUAUUUAUCAGCAUAAAAGAAUUAUUUAUCAGGAUAAAUAAAAAAUUAUUUAUCAGGAUAAAUAAUUAUAUAUUGGUGCCAUAGUGGAUGCAAAUGAUUUAAUUAAUAAUACACGCUUCAAGAGGAAUUUGCAAUUUAAAGGGCUGUAUAAAAGCCUGGUAUUAGCAAUACUUAUUUUUAUUAAUUAAUUGAGCUCUCUCCAAAUCUCCAUGGUGAAUAAUUUUCCCAUCUUUUUCAUUUUUAAUUUAUUUCAGUGGCUCUGGGAAGAGGAAAGGCGACCUAGCAGUGAGCUGUAGGGAAGGUGUGGGAUGGGGGGUCCCCAGCCCUUGGCUGGGCUGUGGCUCAUUUGUUCAGCCUUUGGUGCUGGAGAUGUGGGGAUUGUGGUCUGUGAGACUUGGGGUCUGUGAUCUUACCCACAGGUUCUACUCUUAGCAAUAGUUUCUGUUCACUUUUUUAGCUGGCACCUGUCCCCUGGGGCUGCCUUGCUGCUCUUUUGAACGGUGUGUUUGGUUGAAACUGUUUCCAAAAUCAGGAUACGGUGCUUGUGCUGAUUCCUUCAGCACAGCAAAAGGGAUCCCGGGUGGAAUUUACAGCUUUGGAAAGCCCUGUCAUCUGCCUGUUUCUGCUUCUCCCUUCAGCUGACGCCUCCAAACUGCCCUGCUGGUCCAGGACACGCAGCCCCUGCUGUCACACCUGCUGGAAGGGGCUGAGCUGCUUCUCCCACGGAGGCAGGAACGUGCUGGCAGGAGCAGGGAGGGCAGGAACAGGUUCCUUUCCCCUUCUCGAGGCAUCCUGAGAGCCGCUCUGUCUCCCACUGAGCAGGACCCGGGGGCUGCCGGGAGGAGGUGGCAGCUCUGCCCUCGCUCUGAUAGCGAAGUGCCUCGUGUGACAUAUUUGGGCUCUUCCAGCUUCUCUCCUGCAAUGGGUGACUGCUGCUCCAGAGCACAGGGAGAGUGCCUGGCCAGUGUGUGCCCAGGGCCUCUCUGGAGGAACAGCCCUGGGCACUGUGGUGGCAGGAAUGCUCUGCCCAUGAGCACAGGCCAGCACAGCCAUGGCAGGAGGUGGGUGCAGCACUGAGGUGUGUGAAGCCAAGAGAGCAUUCAUUAAUCACAUUAAUGAGGACAUGGUCUGAGAGUCACACAUGGAUGAGAACAGGACUGAGUGGUGAUGGACAGAACCAGCAUGGGCUGAGUGGGUCUGGUGUGGCCUCUGGGAUGCAUCAGCAGGGUAAGGCAGCCCUGGGACCUGUGGCCAGGACUGGGACAUAAUCCUGUGUCCUGAGCAGAGGACAGGGACAUGAUCCUCUCCCAGCAUGGCGCUGGUUAAACCACUGGAAUUCAGAUGGCUGUGGGCAAAGCAUCACAGGGAGGAAAUGGAGAAGCAGCAAAGGGAGGGAAUUGCAGCCUGGAGGAAGAUAAAGGGUUUAGAGAGGAUGGCUGUGAAGAAAGCGAUUAGAGGAAAUUAAACAUGGCCAGGCUGGAGGUGGAGGCUGGUGCUUUCCCCACUGAACCGUGCAGGGCUGGCGAGGGAGAGCAGCAGGAACUGGAACACGAGGCUGACACGCAUCUGAGGGCAGCUGGGACCAGUUCUGGGCUGGAACCCAGCAGCACAAGGGCAAAGGGGCUGGAGGAGGCAGGAGGAUGUUAAUUCCUGCCUGGCAAAGCCCUGGUGCACACGCUUCAUGAAUCCAAAGGAGCUGUUCUGCCUCUGGUUUUCAGUCUAGUGAUGGAACAUCCAGUGUGGGCCUGGCACUUCCCUUGGACAAACGUCUUGCAAGGGACAGAUCACCUGAGGCAUCAACAGCUGCCUUGAACUCAGCAGGUUCAUCACCUGGAAAGAGCCCCGUGAGAUGAGUGUGUCAUUCCCAGCACUCCAGAGCUCUGGCUGGACGCUCGCCUUGCCCUGGCAUCUCUGGAGAGGCUGGAGGACUGAUCCUUGUGGUGCCAGCACAGGGCAGGGUUGGAAUUUGGGGACAGAUGUGGCUGCUCUUGCCUGUCCCAGCAGUGCUGUCCCCUGCAGCCACGCUGUUCUGGUGAGGGAGAGGACGAGCGGGGCUCCCGGGGCUCCCCAGCUCCCUGGGCUGCUCCUGGGAGGUGCAUGAUCCCAAAACUUGAUUCCUAGAAAUCGCUGCCAGCCUGUGGGAGCCCUGGGAAGCGGCAGGUGUGUUGGUCACAGGCACUGUGCCAUGUCUGGGGUAGGAUGAGGAAUGGCCCCGAGGGCUGAGGGGUUCACAGCAGCCCUGUCUGCAGGGAGGCUGCUGGGGGAGGGCUGGUUUGACCCCCGUCCUCCUCUGCCACUGCCCCUUCUGAAAAAUAGGAAAGAACGAAAUCUCGUCAGUGGCUUUUAAAAGCCAGCUGAAAGUGUCCUUUAUUAAAUUACCACCCUAUUGAUCUCGCAGUCAUCCAAGAGGGGAUUGACUGAGGGCUUAAACAGACGCGCAGCUGGGCCAGACGUUCAAUUAAUGUGCAUAAACGGGCAGUGGAGAAGCAAUUUUCAGAACAAGUCAAGCAAAAGAUCAGACCUGCUUUGCCUUCCAUGCCAAAGUUGUUUCUGUAUUUAUUUUCAUGUUAUUUCAUUUUUUCCCCCCUGUCCCUCUUAUGAUAAGCAGAGUGUUGAGAAGCAGCUCUCAAAGCACAGCUCGCUCUGCUUGGAAGAGGGCACGUUGGCAGGAGGGCUGGGGGAAAGCCACAUCCCUCGAAGGACUCACACCUGAGGGGGGUUUUAGCCAUGUAAAUCCCAGGUUUCACACAUGAGGGGGGUUUUGGGCUGUGUAAAUCCCAGAUUCUUCUUUAAUUCCUGCAGAGAAGGCCCUGUGCAGCAUCAGACCCAUCGCCUGGUUUGAACAUUCCUGUCUCUGAUGAACCUGGGAUUCCUCUUCCAAGCCUGGGGAAGAAUUUUGUGAAGAAAACCCUCUUUCUUGAUUGUCUCCUCCUGCCAGGGGCAAAGCCACUGAUGGAUAUACAAAUAUUCAACUUCACUCUGGCCUUUCCUGUGGAUGCUCCAAGGAACCUGCAGACAGGGCUGAAGCAGAGGGACACACUGGAAGGCAAAUCCCUGCUCUGCAUGUGUGAGCAAACCAGCCCUGUGUGUUUUUUUCUCUAGAUUUAGCAAGAAUCCUGAUCAGAAACUCUGGCUCCAGGGCCCUCAGUCCAGCUCCACCAGCUCCAGGGCUUUGCUUCUUGUCUCCCUUAAGCCAGAGGGCUCAGCUCCAUGGCUUGACUGACACGAAGCGUUCCAGCAUCAGAGACUGAGAGACAAACGAGCAAUUUGCCAAGAAAUUAUCCUUUGGGAUUCCUCCUCUCUCCAGUCGGUUUAAUUGGAGAAGCCCCAGAUGUAGUGGGGAGGGACAGGAGCCAAGUGCAGCCCCAGUCCUGUUGCCACACAUCCAGCAGCUCCUGUUCCUCCCUGCCCACCCUCUGUGCUGGUUUAAGGUGCAUCCACAGGGCUCUGAGCGAGACAGAAGUCCCACAGGCAGGUGCUGAGCCCAGGCUGCAGAGUGCUAUGGAAAAGAAUCUGCUUACAAGGUGCAAGCACGAGGGGAGGCUGCCCAUAUGCUGGGCCAUCUGCACCGCAGGCGGGAGGCAGCGCAGGAGGAGGAAGAGGAGGAGGAGAAGGCAAGGCCUGCCUGUGAAGAAAGGAGCAUCACAGUCCUGCUCUGGUCCCGUGCCAGUGGCUGCCCCUUGGCCCCUGCCUGUGCCCACCUGGCGUGCACUGUCUGCUUUUUGAGACUGAAAAGCUUGGAGCCCUCCCUGCUCCAGCUCCUCUGCCCGUGUCACCCUGCAGCAUUCUCCAUCGUGGCACGUGGGGGCAGGACAGUGAGUGAAGAUUAAUAAAUGAAAGGGAAAGGGAGGGAGACCUGACCCGAGCUCCUCCUCUCUGAAUUCCAAUUAAAGCCAUAAUGCUGUUGGGAACACGACGUGGAGAUUAUGAACAUGUUAUUUAUAUUGAUUCAUCCCCCCAGCCCUCCAGACUUCUGGAAAAUAAUUAGGGCUGACAUUGCUAAUGCUGGAGCCAAGUGUUGGUAUCAUCUC
Myiozetetes cayanensis is the source of this 7053-nucleotide long non-coding RNA. RefSeq lists it as uncharacterized. The record is from RefSeq and is a predicted model, not a curated record. The transcript is spliced from 9 exons. NCBI's taxonomy places the organism in Eukaryota, Metazoa, Chordata, Aves, Passeriformes, Tyrannidae.